AAUGAACGUUGGCGGCAUGGAUUAGGCAUGCAAGUCGAGCGAGAAAGGUUUUGAAGCUUGCUUUAGAACCUGGACAGCGGCGAAAGGGAGAGUAACGCGUAGUUACCUGCCCCAGGGUCCGGAAUAGCCACGGGAAACUGUGGGUAAUGCCGGAUAAUAUCCCCGGAUCAAAGGUGUGAUUCCGCCCUGGGAGGGGACUGCGUCCUACUAGCUUGUUGGCGGGGUAAUGGCCCACCAAGGCAACGAUGGGUAGCGGGUGUGAGAGCAUGACCCGUCUCACUGGGACUGAGACACUGCCCAGACACCUACGGGAGGCAG
This 318-nucleotide ribosomal RNA is filed under the name uncultured Planctomycetota bacterium. RNAcentral describes it as "bacterial SSU rRNA". It matches the Rfam family "Bacterial small subunit ribosomal RNA", at positions 29 to 351 of the family's 1533-position model. Lineage: Bacteria; Pseudomonadati; Planctomycetota. The record is from RNAcentral.